Molecule: unclassified non-coding RNA, 241 nt
Filed under: uncultured Bensingtonia
Lineage: Eukaryota; Fungi; Basidiomycota; Agaricostilbomycetes
Description: partial internal transcribed spacer 2
Source: RNAcentral
ACCUCUCAACCCCGCCAAAGGCUUUAUUGACUUUAGUUGUUUGGGCUUGGAUCAUGGUUGUUGUUGGCCUUUGGGUCUAACUCGACUGAAAUACAACAAGUUGAAUAGAAUUUAUUGCGGCUUGACCUGAUGUUGUAAACUACUCAUCGGGGACGCUUUAAAAAGUCUAAGGAACUUUAACAGAAACCCUUUUGCUCUAGUCGAGGAUCACUCUUUCGGGAGCCCUUACACUUUAGUACAU